RNAcentral lists this ribosomal RNA (378 nucleotides) under Triticum aestivum (bread wheat). RNAcentral's name for it is "partial small subunit ribosomal RNA". Lineage: Eukaryota; Viridiplantae; Streptophyta; Magnoliopsida; Poales; Poaceae. The record is from RNAcentral.
AUGCUCGAUACUUCUUGUGCUGGUUCCUUUAUGAAGAAGACUAUUGAAUUCCGGUGGGAUCUUUUAGAAAGAAUUAAACGCAGCUCUGAAGAUUGGGAACUCGACGAAGGUAAAGAGUCAGGUAUUAAGCUUAAGUUUGAUUGUGUUAAAUCUUUUAUGAAUACCGAUGCUUUUCAAAAGUUUAGCACUAAAUAUGGACUUGACUCUGAGAUAGUAGCCUCCUUUUGUGAAUCUUUUGCUACUCAUGUUGAUCUCCGUAAAGAGAAGUGGUUUAAAUAUCACCCACCUUUUAAAGAAGAAAUUAAAGAACCAGUAAUAGCUAAAGAUGAAACUAUUAUUUAUAAUGUUGAUCCAGUUGUUCCUACUGCCUAUAUUUAA